UGCUAAUAUGGACUAUGGGCAACACUCAACAGUCUGCGAUGAACUGCCAUGAGUCUAUAUUGGAACUGUGAGCAUUCAAUGUUGAAUAACGUUUUCUGUUUCUCGGAUGAUUUACGUGCUGUAACAGACGGUAGAAGCCCUUGAAACCGAAUCUUUGUUGCAAAAAGGGCCCUUUUUCUCUGUUCUCACUAAAGAAUUUGUUUUACUAGUCCCACUUUAUGCGAAAAAGCAUGUUCCUAUGUCAAAUAAGUGUUGAAAUUUUUUUAAUUAGCACAUGAGUUGUCAACCUAAGCAAGAUUUGCCAGUCCAAAUACUUCUACUACUAUUGCCUUACAAUGCAUAAAGCAUGUUGACUGUUCUUUUUUUUAGGAAGUACAACCUACUUUUGAUGUUUUAAGUUCUUUGUCUUUGAGCAUAUUAUUGCCAGAAUUUCAUGCAAGAGAAUUUGGGUUUUGUAUUACUUGUGACAUCCAUUACCAUCUCUUUUUGUCAGUGGGACUAUUGUUUUUCUCCCCAAAAUGGACCCAAAGAUGCCUUUAUCUCCAGGGCUGUUAAAUUCUGGUUGAAAUUUUCCAAUUCAUGGAAUUAAUUAAGUGAUUUUGAUUUUCUGAACUCUACUAAUUAAACUAGGCUGUUCUUAUUUUUUAAAUAGAUUUAAUGGAUUAGGUGAUUCCAUUCAAUUCAUUCAUUCGGUGUUGUUUUUUUGUUGGAUACUUGCAUAAUGUUAAUUAAUUAAUUAAUUAAGUUAUGUGAGGUUACAUAUGCAAUGCAUAUGUAACCUCACAUAACUAGGUGUAAUCUUCACCUUGAAUAGGUUUUCAUUCUUGACUCAUGAUUAUGCACACCAAUUGUUUGUUUAGAUGAGAACAAACUUAAGCAUAGCAGCUCAUUUGAAUUCAUACAAGUAUUACAAGAAGAUCCUUUAAAUUACUGUGUUGGAGCUAGCAAAACAGAAAAUGAUUAUUUUGCAGAUUAGAUUGAGCAACACAGAAGUGAAAAAAAAUAGCUGCUUUCCUUAAAAGUAGUGAGUAAUAAAACCCGGUUUCUAGUUGACCAAGCAACGAGCGUUAACGGAUGUCGAAAAAACUCGUGUUAAAACAGCGAAAUCUUACUGUUCUCUAUCUAGCGGCGAUAAAAAGGUUUUUUUUUUUCUUCUUAGUUUGGACAUUUGGACAUAGGUCACUUUAGGUCAGGUAAACCAAGUUCCAGACUGGACGGUGACGACCAAAUUUUGAUAAGUUUAUGGUUUUGAAGUUAAAAACUAAAAAAAUCACAAAUACUUCAUGUGUACUGUCAAAUAGAAAUGGAUCACCGUUGGAUUUUGACCAUCGACCAACACAUUUGGCAUUGCUUUGCUGAAAAGUUUGUAUUUCUUUGAAAAGUAAAUGAUUAAUUUAAGUUAAAGAUUUAGUAUGUUCUGUUGUUUUUGUUUAAAUUGUUGUAAAUUGGUUACAAACUAAAAAAACACUUGUAUUAUCAACAUUCCGUGUAAUUCGUCGUAGAUUCAAUACCACUACCAUUAGGUCUACACCGAAUAGUCGACGUGAGACUGAUAGAUUGAAUUACCGAGUUUUUAUUAGUUUCGUUUUUUGUUGUUGUUGAAACUAACAAUCUUAGAUAAUUUUCUAAACAAACUAGUCAAUUCAAAAACAUUAUUUAUUAAAUUGAAAGUAAGAUGUAUUUUGCUCUUGAACUUAAAUUCGAUUAUCAGCGUAGAAUUUGUUUGUUGUUACCAGUCACGAUAAUUGUAUAAUAUCUUAGGUCAAAUAACCUCCUGGAAGAUAUCUAGAUCUUCGUUCAUUUACUAUUUCUUCUACGAUAGAUCACUUGACGUUUGAUAACAUUGCAGUCUAAUGAAUUUACCUCCUGCGUAGAUCCAAGGUAGCCAUAACGGGUUGAUUGUUUGGAGAUUCACGUCGCUCAUUAAAUGAUGCAAAGUAGGCAGUGGUCGAGUUAUUUGAUCUGGAUGUUGAUUGAGGAGCCAAAAGAAAAAUGGUAUUGGGAUGCCACAGGAUACAAAACGGAUAUAUGCUACAAGAAGCACUAAAGUGAAUCAGGCGACGGAAAACGAGAAGCAACUGUCCUUGUUUGCCCGAUUGGCAUCCAUUGCUAGACAUAAUUUUUUCGACGAUAAUCUUGGGAGAAGAGAUUCGUGGCUUCGAUCGGAACCACCGUUUACAGGCCACCGAUGACAGUUUGAAGAAUGUCUAGCACAUUUUUUCUUUUUGUUUUCAUCCUCAAGGAAGAAAAAGGGUGGUAUUUCAAAGUCAUGCGUUGCCGUAUGGAUAAAGCAACACGAUUGAAUGUGACUACAGGAUGUCAGAACGUUCUAGAGUCCCGAGAUAGUUAUUCCCAAAACUCAUUUGAACUGGGCAGUCACACACGGCGACUAAUUUUAUUGCUCGUCACUUAAAAGUCAAGCCAAAGGGUUUUACCUUUGACGUGUUCUUGUCGUCAUGUUGGAUUGACCGAGGUAAGAUAAAGUCGCUCGAUCAUAAUCCUUUUAUAGCCGGUCGUAGUUAAGGAUGGUUUGAUGAUUUAGGUAACCAAUUCUGUUUUAUAUCAAAUUUUUAUUAUUCAAAUUAUUUCACAGCAGUAUUUAACAUGUCAGACCGUAGAAAAUGUUGCAGAAGGGUUACGUUGCAACGCAAAAUCUUCGCGUCAUAUUAUUUCCGCAAUUGCUGAUACUGAACGCGAUUGAUUGAGAUUAAUUGAUACAGUACAUCGCCCUGUCACAUCUCAAAUUCUACGGUUUAUAAUUUUUAUUCUAUGACCGAGUUCUUUUACAGACAGUGGCUUCUCAUUUCUUCUUCAUACCAGCGAUCAGAUUUGAUGUUUCGAAUUGUUUUAGAUUGUUAAAGCAAGUUUGUCUUUCUAAGAUGGUUCCACCAACGUGCAUGGUCGCCGAACUUGGUGGUUUUGUGCGAUACGUUUGUCUAAGUGGCAGAUAGAACGGCUAAUAAUUUAAAUCUCACUUGGGAUAAUCUACUUCUCGGACAAGUACUUUGAGGCCGGAAUUAAUUGAGUCCACUUUGCAUAUGGCUUCUUCGUGGGGUGUGUUAAUUCGAAUCAUUAGCGCCGAAGAACCUUUCAUGGAAGCUGAUUUCGGUGAGACGCAAGUGUUGAUUCGUCUGAUGGUCGAUUAUGCCAACAUGGCAGCGAAGAAACAUGCCUUGCUCAAUCGGAUUGAAAUCGCGACGUCGGAAGAAGAGCGUAUUCUUCUGGAAGAACUGUCCAGUCGCAACCAGUAUGUUGCCACGCUACUGCCUAUUUGCGCCGUCGGUGUUCAGGAAGAUUGCCGAACUUAUAGCUACUGCGUAGCACUGAGCUCUGAUCAGACACAACCAAACUGGAAUGAUCUAGCUACCUACGCCCGCUUAAUGGCGCGUGUGUGCCAUAAUGUCGAUCGUGUUUGCUACAUAUUCAGAAAGGCUGUGCGUGACAAACGUUACAUCUACCUACUUAACGAGUAACAUUUUGGCGACUUUGAGCGAUUCGAGUCAACGCAUUCCAUCAUGCCAACGAUCAGUCGUUUUUCGACCAUUUCUUUCACAGGAUUUUACGACUGGACUUCCUACAAUUCCUGAUACCCAUUUGCCCCAAGAGGUUGUAGACAAGAUGGUUGAAACCGUCUUAUCUGUGUCAGGAAUUUCCAGAGUCUUGUAUGACCUGACGGUGAAACAACCCGGGAAAACGGAGUGGGAAUAAUUUUAUUUACGAACGUUGCGUAGGCAAAUGAUUUCCGCACUCUUCAUAGGACACGGAUACGGAGUUGUAUCAUUGGCCAGAUUUAUAUGGGAAAUAUUAUAAACAGUGUAUUCAGCAUAGACUUUUGAAAUUGAAAAAUCAAUCAGCUUUGUCAUUUCGUGAAAAUCUCCUAACCCGCUUCUUAAGAGGAGUUCACGUGAUGACUUGUUGACUAUUCCUUAAAUAUUCAUGCACACUUGUUGGAAAUAAUGGGUGCAUUUGUUUUUCGUCGAACAAAUUAAACAUUUUAAUGUGUAGCUAGGUUGGUUGUUGUUUCUCUCCCUUGUAGAACUACUCUUUUUCGCCUAAUUGUUUAUCUAAUUCUUUUGGAACGCUCGGAGGUCGUCCAAAACAAGCGUAAGGUCAUUUGAUGCGUUAUGCCAUUUCCUGAAAUUGAACAUUCAGAAAAUGUGUUUGUUCGCAAAAGGUUAAGAUCUAUUCAGAUUUGUACCAUAAAGUAUGACUGUCGGAAAGGGUACGUAGGCUUCUAAAAGUGAAGAAGAGCUUUGAAGUCUUUGGUAAGCGAAAAGGUACUGCAAAGGGAAGCGUCGCAUGACAGUUUCAUGGAUGGACUCUUUCCUUUGCUUUGCCCUAUGAUUCUGUGCUUUGAACUGGCAGAUGGCGUUUAGCAGUGGCACCCAAUUUUUAUCUUAAAAGCCAGAGGUGUUAUUCACUUUUCAGGGGAAUUGAUUGAUGAUACUUGUUGAUUAAACCAUGAACAAUACCAAUAGAUGGAUAAGUGGAGGGUUAUUGAAGUAUAAAACUAAUUUCUCAUGGCAUUUCCAUUCACGCAUGUGGGACAGUUCGUGAGCAGACGAACCAUUGAAAGAGCCUUGCGCAGUCUAGUUGCAUCCAGCCAGAUACUAGUAGAACCCAAAACAUUGUCUUGACAAGUACUGCCAUAUUUCGGUUGCAGGUUUUCAGUAAAUACCAAGGAAGGUUUGGUAGCUAUUAUUCCGUGUUUUUCUUGCUUUCAACACUGCAGGCUGGUCCUACGAGCUACGAAAGUUUUACCUACAAAUGUUUAGCGUUUCGUGCUGCAACUAGUAGUUGAUAUUCAAGGAUGUUAUGCCUAAAAUUGGAAUUCAGCUAUCAGAGAUUAGCAAAAUUCAAACGGAAACUCUAGAUGGCGUUGAUGUGCGUCUAUGAUGAAGAUUAUGAGUCACAAGUUAAAUGGGUGUUUGUUACGUUACCCUGUUAUGUGUUUCAAAGGAUUUUUCGUCAAAAAUUUUACGAUUGCUUUUUGUAUGUGGGGGUGUUGCGCCUUGUCAGCUAUGCCAGCUGCUGAACCAGUAGCCUGCAUUCCUGCUAUCAAUGUACCACAAGUGAUCCUGACACUUUAAGAAGACAAUUAUUGCUUACAUGAAGAUCACCAUCCAGUUCAAGUACUGUUAAUGGACCUCAAGCCAUUCGUUUAAGCUUAGGGAUGUGUUCUCUCACCAGUCAACGACAGUCUUCAUCUACUUUUGUUGCUAACCAUCAGCCUUCAGCAUCCCAGGUAUCCAGAUUUCCAAGUUUCUCUGAUUAGUUAACCAUCAUCCAUACCCUUCAGCUCUUCAUUGUGGCUUCUCUUCCUCUCAUCUUAGUCUGCUGAAUGCCAACAUUGAAUAACGUUCAUCAUCAUUACCUUUCCAUGAAAAUCUUCAUUUUUUAUCCUGCGGUUCUUCUCACCGUUACUUAGCCAGCUCACAUGGAUAGGGUUUAACAACAACUCCAUUUUUUGGACUGCAAAUAUUAAUUUUCUUUCGGUACAACACUGCCGUUUUGACAAUUUCGGGAGUUUCGCCCCCAGUGAACCAAACGCAACUACAUUUUCUUCGUCUUCCUGUCGUUGUUGGCUACGACUUCACCUCAUCGCUGUCUUCGUUGACGUCUUCGCCUUCAUCUCCGUCUCGUCGUCUUGGUCGUCUUCGCCUUCAUCUCCGUCUCGUUGUCUUGGUCGUCUUCGCCUUCAUCUCCGUCUCGUCGUUUUCGCCGUCUUUGUCUACGCCAUCACCUUGUCGCCGGCUUCUCCUUCACCCUUUACAAGGGAAUUCACCGUGGAUCGUCGCUCUGGUAUUGUUUUAUUUUGCAUUGUAAUUGUUAAGUUAACCCGUUGGCUGCCACCCCGUUUGCGUCCCAUUUUUGUUGUAGCUUGUAGGGACCGGCCGCAAUGGCCUUCGCCGCAAGGCGCCUUAGG
Long non-coding RNA from Daphnia magna, 5926 nucleotides. RefSeq lists it as uncharacterized. Lineage: Eukaryota; Metazoa; Arthropoda; Branchiopoda; Diplostraca; Daphniidae. The transcript is spliced from 16 exons. The record is from RefSeq and is a predicted model, not a curated record.